UCUCGUCUUGAUCUCAGAAGCUAAGCAGGGUUGGGCCUGGUUAGUACUUGGAUUGGGGAAA
RNAcentral lists this microRNA precursor (61 nucleotides) under Microcebus murinus (gray mouse lemur). Its description in RNAcentral is "miRNA (ENSMICG00000036083.2)". The record is from RNAcentral. Lineage: Eukaryota; Metazoa; Chordata; Mammalia; Primates; Cheirogaleidae.